UAAGAAGUAAAACAGAUGACACAUGCCGGCCAGUAGUCAGUGGGAGAAUUGUUCAACGAUGAUGACAGGAGACUGAGCCCAGAGAUUAGGGAUAUGAGAAUUCAAGCCUCAAAGACCCUUAGCCGCUGCCUCCGAUGUCUCUUACAUUUGAAGGGGUCAUGAGAACUUGUGUUUUCCAGGGAUUAUUUAUCACUCUCUGGGGGCAGAGUCAGAGGAGCAGGUCAGGCAAAUAUGAGCCUGCAGAUUUCGCAAGCGUGUUAGGAAAGAAGGACAAGGGAAGACAAUUAAGCAAGUGUAAGCAAGUCACCUGGCAUUUCUCAUUGGGUGUUACGGCCCCAUUCUAGAACCAUCGUCAGGGAACCCAACUGGCUCUCUCCUGCUUCUCUCACCUUCUAGCCUGCAAAACCAUAGGGGAGAAGAUUUUUUCAGUGGUGUGGACUCCAUUUCCUGGCAAUGGGUCCUGCAGCACUGACAGCACCAGGACUAGAGAGAGCAGGUUCACAGCACAGCUUACCGUACCUAGACGUGAGGCCAGAGGCUGAGACCUGUUUAUCUCUUUAAUCCUCAAAAGAGGCGGCACAGAACCUGGAAUGUCUCUGAUGCUUAGUACACGUGGGUCGAAUGUAUGAGGAGCCCUUGCUCUCCCUCUGCAUGCAUGUGGCAUGCUCACUUAUGCUCUGUUCUUGCAGGGUACAUACCUGCAUUAUCGCUAUGGCCCAUCUGUCUAAAGUUGGAAUGCAACUCUGGUCAGAAAUAACUUCAUUCUAAAGUAAAUAGAACAAAGGAAAAUGUGGUUUCCAUUUGCUCCUUCCACGACAAGGAAGUCCUGGCACUUGGGGGAGGGGUUUUGGUCUAACUGGGGCCUGAACAGACCAGGAACCCUCAAGGGAGAGAGGUCAGUCACGACAAAAACGCUUCAAGCCACUGACCCAGCACAAAGACUCCACUGUGAGGAAACUCAAUAUAAGGGUGUGCCUGGCUCUACGGGAAUGUGAUACACAAAAAUCCUAAGUCAUAAAAUAGAUAAAUCUGGGGUGGUUAUUGACUUUACAAGAGAACUCGCCAGCAGGUUCCUCUAAAUAGCCAGCUCUCACAGUCCACUUAAACUGUGACUUUAUUUUCAGGAGUUUGAUAUUACACACCGGUUUUCAGGAGAAACAUAAAUAGGUCCCCAGGGAGCCUGACGUCACAGUGUGUCUGGCCAGCAAGUUGUUGACCAGGCCUUAAGGUGAACAGGCCUGGAGCUGCCGAAAGUGCUGGAGGAGCUGUGGUUUGGGAGCUCCCUCCAUGUCUGCUCAUGGAGCCUGGCUGUUUCCAAGGUUGGGUGCAAUAGGAAGAGCCAGACCCAAUCUGGGCCUUCUUGCCUCUAAUUGAGUGGGCUGAUGGAUUGCUCAGCACAUUUUUCUGUAAGGGGAACAUAGAAUUUGUAUCCGCUACUCAUUCGUUCAUUCAUUCAAGAGUGUUUACUACCUCCUUUCUAUGUGCAUGACACUGUGUUGGGCAGAGCAAUGCAGAGAAGACUGUAACGUGUACUCCUGUCCCCUAGGACCUCACAGUCUAAUUAGACAAACUCCUGGAUAUCGUUGAUUCUAGAAAGUACAUUUUUACCGUUGCUCAGCUCUGAAAUCAAAAUGCAUCUUCCGGGGCUGGCCCGGUCGUGCAGAGGUUAAGUUCUCACAUCCUGAUUCGGCAGCCUGGGGUUCGCCGGUUCAGAUCCCAGGUGCUGAUCUACGCACUGAUUGUGAAGCCAUGCUGUGGCAGGCAUCCCACAUAAAAUAGAGGAAGAUGGGCAUGGAUGUUAGCUCAGGGCCAGUCUUCCUCAGCAAAACGAGGAGGAUUGGCAGUGGAUGUUAGAUCAGAGCUAAGCUUCCUAAAAAAAAACAAAAAAAGCAUCUUACUGCACAUAAUAUGACACAGUUGGACAUAAUUGACUGGAUUUCUCUUAGUGGUAUGUAAAAUGAUGGUGUCUCUUUUCAGUUGUCAGUGUCUUAGAUGAAAUAGGUAUAUGAAAG
RNAcentral lists this long non-coding RNA (2012 nucleotides) under Equus caballus (horse). RNAcentral's name for it is "lncRNA (ENSECAG00000057520.1)". Lineage: Eukaryota; Metazoa; Chordata; Mammalia; Perissodactyla; Equidae. The record is from RNAcentral.